AACAAGAAGCAAAUCCUCACAUCUUCCUUCGUUGUUCUCUGCAAACCUCGACCUCCAAACAAAACUUCUUCUUCCUCCUUGGCUCCUCCUACUUUCUCUUUCAAGAUAGAUGGCCGACCCCAAGUACGCUUACCCUUACCCUGCUCAAGGGUACUACCAAGGUCCUCCGGUCAUGGCUCCUCCGCGGUAUGCGGCUGCUCCGCCGCCCCGGCGAGAACCAGGGUUUCUCGAAGGAUGUCUUGCGGCUCUCUGUUGCUGUUGCCUGCUCGACGAGUGUUGCUGCGACCCCUCGAUCAUAUUCGUUAGCUAGAUGUGAUGUAGUUCAGCAAUUGCUUGCACAGUUCAAUUUGAAUAAAUUUGUAAGUUGUCAUGUUUUGUGAGUGAAGUUAUUAAUUAUCUUUUGCUUUUGAUUA
Long non-coding RNA from Syzygium oleosum, 413 nucleotides. RefSeq lists it as uncharacterized. Lineage: Eukaryota; Viridiplantae; Streptophyta; Magnoliopsida; Myrtales; Myrtaceae. The record is from RefSeq and is a predicted model, not a curated record. The transcript is spliced from 3 exons.